RNAcentral lists this ribosomal RNA (253 nucleotides) under uncultured bacterium. RNAcentral describes it as "partial 16S ribosomal RNA". It matches the Rfam family "Bacterial small subunit ribosomal RNA", at positions 524 to 776 of the family's 1533-position model. The record is from RNAcentral.
UACGUAGGAUGCAAGCGUUGUCCGGAAUUAUUGGGCGUAAAGAGCUCGUAGGCGGUUUGUCGCGUCUGCUGUGAAAACGCGAGGCUCAACCUCGCGCCUGCAGUGGGUACGGGCAGACUAGAGUGCGGUAGGGGAGAUUGGAAUUCCUGGUGUAGCGGUGGAAUGCGCAGAUAUCAGGAGGAACACCGAUGGCGAAGGCAGAUCUCUGGGCCGUAACUGACGCUGAGGAGCGAAAGCGUGGGGAGCGAACAGG